Salmo salar (Atlantic salmon) is the source of this 664-nucleotide long non-coding RNA. RefSeq lists it as uncharacterized. Lineage: Eukaryota; Metazoa; Chordata; Actinopteri; Salmoniformes; Salmonidae. The record is from RefSeq and is a predicted model, not a curated record.
AGACAUGGCCAGAUGCAGGAUGUGGCCAUAACAGACAGAAAUCCUCCAGGGACAAACAUGGCACACACGCUCAUAAACAAAAUUAAAAACAGGUGACAAAAUUAACACUGGAACAUGGACGCGUGCAUGCGCAGAAACACACACACGGGAGAACUCCUUACCCCAUCAAAUUCAAUCAAGAACUCGGUCUUCAGUCGUCUGCUGGCAUCAUGCUCUCCCUCUCUCCUUUCACAGAGUAGACUGUCGAUCUCAUCUGUGUGGGUCAAAAGAUACCUAUGAAGAUGAUCGAGGGUUGCAGUUCUCUGGCGACGGCAAACAGAGCUCGCACCAGCUUCUCUCCCUCCCCCACCUACAGGGAAAGACCAAAAGAAUAGCGAGUGAACUCUGAAUAGAGGACCGAAGAGCAGAAGGCCUCGUGCUGGAGCCCUCAAACCUGUAAACAACUUGAAAAAGCAACACCUACUCAGCACUGGUUUCAUGAAGUUCAAAAUUACAGAGCCUAUCGGAAUCAAUAAAUUACUGAUUUAACAUUUACUGUAUUUGGUAUUUUAUUAGGAUCCCCAUUAGCUGUUGCAAAAGCAGCAGCUACUCUUCCUAGGGUCCACACAAAACAUGAAACAUAAUACAGAAUGACAUAAUACAGAACAUCAAGGAAGUUCCAUGC